GACGAACGCUGGCGGCGUGCUUAACACAUGCAAGUCGAGCGGUAAGGCCCUUCGGGGUACACGAGCGGCGAACGGGUGAGUAACACGUGGGUGACCUGCCUCUAGCUCUGGGAUAAGCCUGGGAAACUGGGUCUAAUACCGGAUAUGACUCCACGGCGCAUGUUGUGGGGUGGAAAGCCUUGUGUGGCUAGAGAUGGGCCCGCGGCCUAUCAGCUUGUUGGUGGGGUGAUGGCCUACCAAGGCGACGACGGGUAGCCGGCCUGAGAGGGCGACCGGGCCACACUGGGACUGAGACACGGCCCAGACUCCUACGGGAGGCAGCAGUGGGGAAUCUUGCGCAAUGGGCGAAAGCCUGACGCAGCGACGCCGCGUGAGGGAUGACGGCCU
Molecule: ribosomal RNA, 387 nt
Filed under: uncultured bacterium
Lineage: Bacteria
Description: bacterial SSU rRNA
Rfam family: Bacterial small subunit ribosomal RNA
Source: RNAcentral